This 446-nucleotide ribosomal RNA is filed under the name uncultured bacterium. RNAcentral describes it as "bacterial SSU rRNA". It matches the Rfam family "Bacterial small subunit ribosomal RNA", at positions 329 to 792 of the family's 1533-position model. The record is from RNAcentral.
GUCCAGACUCCUACGGGAGGCAGCAGUGGGGAAUAUUGCACAAUGGGGGAAACCCUGAUGCAGCGACGCCGCGUGAGUGAAGAAGUAUUUCGGUAUGUAAAGCUCUAUCAGCAGGGAAGAUAAUGACGGUACCUGAGUAAGAAGCCCCGGCUAACUACGUGCCAGCAGCCGCGGUAAUACGUAGGGGGCAAGCGUUAUCCGGAUUUACUGGGUGUAAAGGGAGCGUAGACGGCAUGGCGAGUCUGAAGUGAAAGCCCGGGGCUCAACCGCGGGACUGCUUUGGAAACUGUGCAGCUAGAGUGCAGGAGAGGUAAGUGGAAUUCCUAGUGUAGCGGUGAAAUGCGUAGAUAUUAGGAGGAACACCAGUGGCGAAGGCGGCUUACUGGACUGUAACUGACGCUGAGGCAUGAGAGCAUGGGGAGCAAACAGGAUUAGAUACCCCCGUA